This is a long non-coding RNA of Onychostruthus taczanowskii (white-rumped snowfinch), 338 nucleotides long. RefSeq lists it as uncharacterized. The transcript is spliced from 3 exons. NCBI's taxonomy places the organism in Eukaryota, Metazoa, Chordata, Aves, Passeriformes, Passeridae. The record is from RefSeq and is a predicted model, not a curated record.
UCGGGGUGCCCGUGCAGGUGCUGGAGGGGCUGGACUACCUGCACACCAAGUGCAAGAUCAUCCACACGGACAUCAAGCCCGAGAACGUGCUGCUCUGCGUGCAGGAGCCCUACCUGCGACACCUGGCGGCGCAGGCCGCGCGCUGGGCGCGGGGGGACGGCCCCCCCCGCGGGGCAGUGAGCUCGGCACCCCAGGAGGAACCUGAGCGGCUGUCGCGGGCUCAGCGGCGCCGGCGGCGGCGGCGACAGCGGCGACAGCGGCAGCUGCUGGCAGAGAGACUGCGGGACCUGGAGCGGCUGCGCGACACCGCGGGGACACCGGGGACAGCCAGCGACACC